RNAcentral lists this ribosomal RNA (255 nucleotides) under uncultured bacterium. Its description in RNAcentral is "partial 16S ribosomal RNA". It matches the Rfam family "Bacterial small subunit ribosomal RNA", at positions 213 to 467 of the family's 1533-position model. The record is from RNAcentral.
UCAUGCUCGUGGAGCGGCCGAUAUCUGAUUAGCUAGUUGGUAGGGUAAAAGCCUACCAAGGCAUCGAUCAGUAGCUGGUCUGAGAGGACGACCAGCCACACUGGAACUGAGACACGGUCCAGACUCCUACGGGAGGCAGCAGUGGGGAAUUUUGGACAAUGGGCGAAAGCCUGAUCCAGCAAAGGCGCGUGAGUGAAGAAGGCCUUCGGGUGUAAAGCUAAUGGUCAGGGAAGAAACGGUGAGGGCUAAUAUCUC